Molecule: transfer RNA, 87 nt
Organism: Rhodobacter sp.
Lineage: Bacteria; Pseudomonadati; Pseudomonadota; Alphaproteobacteria; Rhodobacterales
Rfam family: tRNA
About the family: Transfer RNA (tRNA) molecules are approximately 80 nucleotides in length. Their secondary structure includes four short double-helical elements and three loops (D, anti-codon, and T loops).
Source: Rfam
GGACGGGUGGCCGAGUGGUCGAAGGCGCACGCCUGGAAAGUGUGUAGGCGGGGAACCGUCUCGAGGGUUCGAAUCCCUUCCCGUCCG